Molecule: long non-coding RNA, 428 nt
Organism: Maniola jurtina (meadow brown)
Lineage: Eukaryota; Metazoa; Arthropoda; Insecta; Lepidoptera; Nymphalidae
Exons: 2
Source: RefSeq, a predicted model, not a curated record
GAGCAUGUUCAAAUAUAUGCCAGUAGAAGACAAAAUAAGACAUUAAGUGCAGGAAAUAAAGCUAAAGAAGAGAAAAUUGCGAGGAAGCCUACAAAAGACAAGACAGUAAGAAAAAAUAAAAAAAAAUAAGUAGUUCUAAGCAAGCACUGUUUUAAGUAAAAGACAGUUAUAAUAAAAAAAAAUCUUUAAUUGCAUUUGUUAUUUCAUGAGCACCUUAAAAAACUAUGCGAUGGUAACUAACACCACCAACCUUAAAAAAUAAAAGAAAGUUUGUAUUAGAAAUCCAGUCCCUGAUGCUCUUAAUCUGUGUGGUAAGCAGUAGUACUAUUUUUUAAUAUUUCUCCAAUAAUAUAAACUUUUUUUAAAAACCGACUAAACUGGACCAAAUUGAAAUGGUCAGGGUUAAACACGGGAAGCACCAGCUUUCA